UACGGAGGGGGCUAGCGUUGUUCGGAAUUACUGGGCGUAAAGCGCGCGUAGGCGGCCAACUAAGUCAGACGUGAAAUCCCUCGGCUUAACCGGGGAACUGCGUCUGAUACUGGAUGGCUUGAGGUUGGGAGAGGGAUGCUGAAUUCCAGGUGUAGCGGUGAAAUGCGUAGAUAUCUGGAGGAACACCGGUGGCGAAGGCGGCAUCCUGGACCAAUUCUGACGCUGAGGAGCGAAAGCCAGGGGAGCAAACGGG
Molecule: ribosomal RNA, 253 nt
Filed under: uncultured bacterium
Lineage: Bacteria
Description: partial 16S ribosomal RNA
Rfam family: Bacterial small subunit ribosomal RNA
Source: RNAcentral